AGUCUUUCAAGAAGGGAGAGAAACCAGAGAGUGUCUAUCUUUGCCAGCAAAGAAACAUCUCUCUGAUUAGAAAUGUGUCUCGUGAGGAUUAGACAUGCUGCCAUCUGCAAUAUAGACAUUUCUAUCAGCAGAUAUGACCAGGAAAACCUACUGUUUAAAUUCAAGCCUGGAGCUGGAAGAUCCCACCAUCCAACCUCACCCUUUCACCCAGCCAUGUUCCUACUGGCCACUGCAUUCCCAGCAAAUU
Corapipo altera (White-ruffed manakin) is the source of this 247-nucleotide long non-coding RNA. RefSeq lists it as uncharacterized. Lineage: Eukaryota; Metazoa; Chordata; Aves; Passeriformes; Pipridae. The record is from RefSeq and is a predicted model, not a curated record. The transcript is spliced from 3 exons.